This 80-nucleotide non-coding RNA is filed under the name unclassified sequences. The record is from Rfam.
UUGCGCCUACCGAGUGGAGAUACGGAAACGCCUCCAAAAUAAUCCUGUGGAUGAUUUAGCAGCUCGUAGUAGGCGCAUUU